UGGGGAAUAUUGCACAAUGGGGGAAACCCUGAUGCAGCGACGCCGCGUGAACGAAGAAGGUAUUCGUAUCGUAAAGUUCUGUCCUAUGGGAAGAUAAUGACAGUACCAUAGAAGAAAGCUCCGGCUAAAUACGUGCCAGCAGCCGCGGUAAUACGUAUGGAGCGAGCGUUGUCCGGAAUUAUUGGGCGUAAAGAGUACGCAGGCGGUUUAAUAAGUCGAAUGUUAAAGAUCGGGGCUCAACCCCGCAAAGCAUUGGAAACUGAUAAACUUGAGUAGUGGAGAGGAAAGUGGAAUUCCUAGUGUAGUGGUGAAAUACGUAGAUAUUAGGAGGAAUACCAGUAGCGAAGGCGACUUUCUGGACACAAACUGACGCUGAGGUACGAAAGCGUGGGGAGCAAACAGG
RNAcentral lists this ribosomal RNA (403 nucleotides) under bacterium. RNAcentral's name for it is "partial 16S ribosomal RNA". It matches the Rfam family "Bacterial small subunit ribosomal RNA", at positions 355 to 776 of the family's 1533-position model. The record is from RNAcentral.